CCCUUUGGGUGUGACUGCGUACCUUUUGUAUAAUGGGUCAGCGACUUAUAUUCUGUAGCAAGGUUAACCGAAUAGGGGAGCCGGAGGGAAACCGAGUCUUAAUUGGGCGUUAAGUUGCAGGGUAUAGACCCGAAACCCGGUGAUCUAGCCAUGGGCAGGUUGAAGGUUGGGUAACACUAACUGGAGGACCGAACCGACUAAUGUUGAAAAAUUAGCGGAUGACCUGUGGCUGGGGGUGAAAGGCCAAUCAAACCGGGAGAUAGCUGGUUCUCCCCGAAAGCUAUUUAGGUAGCGCCUCGUGAAUUCAUCUCCGGGGGUAGAGCACUGUUUCGGCUAGGGGGCCAUCCCGGCUUACCAACCCGAUGCAAACUGCGAAUACCGGAGAAUGUUAUCACGGGAGACACACGGCGGGUGCUAACGUCCGUCGUGAAGAGGGAAACAACCCAGACCGCCAGCUAAGGUCCCAAAGUCAUGGUUAAGUGGGAAACGAUGUGGGAAGGCCCAGACAGCCAGGAUGUUGGCUUAGAAGCAGCCAUCAUUUAAAGAAAGCGUAAUAGCUCACUGGUCGAGUCGGCCUGCGCGGAAGAUGUAACGGGGCUAAACCAUGCACCGAAGCUGCGGCAGCGACGCUUAUGCGUUGUUGGGUAGGGGAGCGUUCUGUAAGCCUGUGAAGGUGUGUCGUGAGGCAUGCUGGAGGUAUCAGAAGUGCGAAUGCUGACAUAAGUAACGAUAAAGCGGGUGAAAAGCCCGCUCGCCGGAAGACCAAGGGUUCCUGUCCAACGUUAAUCGGGGCAGGGUGAGUCGACCCCUAAGGCGAGGCCGAAAGGCGUAGUCGAUGGGAAACGGGUUAAUAUUCCCGUACUUGGUGUUACUGCGAAGGGGGGACGGAGAAGGCUAUGUUGGCCGGGCGACGGUUGUCCCGGUUUAAGCGUGUAGGUGUGUGUUCCAGGUAAAUCCGGUUCACUUUAACACUGAGGCGUGACGACGAGGCACUACGGUGCUGAAGCAACAAAUGCCCUGCUUCCAGGAAAAGCCUCUAAGCAUCAGGUAACAUCAAAUCGUACCCCAAACCGACACAGGUGGUCAGGUAGAGAAUACCAAGGCGCUUGAGAGAACUCGGGUGAAGGAACUAGGCAAAAUGGUGCCGUAACUUCGGGAGAAGGCACGCUGACACGUAGGUGAAGUGAUUUACUCAUGGAGCUGAAGUCAGUCGAAGAUACCAGCUGGCUGCAACUGUUUAUUAAAAACACAGCACUGUGCAAACACGAAAGUGGACGUAUACGGUGUGACGCCUGCCCGGUGCCGGAAGGUUAAUUGAUGGGGUCAGCGCAAGCGAAGCUCCUGAUCGAAGCCCCGGUAAACGGCGGCCGUAACUAUAACGGUCCUAAGGUAGCGAAAUUCCUUGUCGGGUAAGUUCCGACCUGCACGAAUGGCGUAAUGAUGGCCAGGCUGUCUCCACCCGAGACUCAGUGAAAUUGAACUCGCUGUGAAGAUGCAGUGUACCCGCGGCAAGACGGAAAGACCCCGUGAACCUUUACUAUAGCUUGACACUGAACAUUGAGCCUUGAUGUGUAGGAUAGGUGGGAGGCUUUGAAGUGUGGACGCCAGUCUGCAUGGAGCCGACCUUGAAAUACCACCCUUUAAUGUUUGAUGUUCUAACGUGGACCCGUUACCCGGGUUGCGGACAGUGUCUGGUGGGUAGUUUGACUGGGGCGGUCUCCUCCUAAAGAGUAACGGAGGAGCACGAAGGUUGGCUAAUCCUGGUCGGACAUCAGGAGGUUAGUGCAAUGGCAUAAGCCAGCUUGACUGCGAGCGUGACGGCGCGAGCAGGUGCGAAAGCAGGUCAUAGUGAUCCGGUGGUUCUGAAUGGAAGGGCCAUCGCUCAACGGAUAAAAGGUACUCCGGGGAUAACAGGCUGAUACCGCCCAAGAGUUCAUAUCGACGGCGGUGUUUGGCACCUCGAUGUCGGCUCAUCACAUCCUGGGGCUGAAGUAGGUCCCAAGGGUAUGGCUGUUCGCCAUUUAAAGUGGUACGCGAGCUGGGUUUAGAACGUCGUGAGACAGUUCGGUCCCUAUCUGCCGUGGGCGCUGGAGAACUGAGGGGGGCUGCUCCUAGUACGAGAGGACCGGAGUGGACGCAUCACUGGUGUUCGGGUUGUCAUGCCAAUGGCACUGCCCGGUAGCUAAAUGCGGAAGAGAUAAGUGCUGAAAGCAUCUAAGCACGAAACUUGCCCCGAG
RNAcentral lists this ribosomal RNA (2237 nucleotides) under Salmonella enterica subsp. enterica serovar Enteritidis. Its description in RNAcentral is "partial 23S ribosomal RNA". It matches the Rfam family "Bacterial large subunit ribosomal RNA", at positions 582 to 2803 of the family's 2925-position model. Lineage: Bacteria; Pseudomonadati; Pseudomonadota; Gammaproteobacteria; Enterobacterales; Enterobacteriaceae. The record is from RNAcentral.